Molecule: ribosomal RNA, 325 nt
Filed under: uncultured eukaryote
Lineage: Eukaryota
Description: partial 18S ribosomal RNA
Rfam family: Eukaryotic small subunit ribosomal RNA
Source: RNAcentral
CCCUUAGAUGUUCUGGGCUGCACGCGCGCUACACUGAUGCAUUCAACGAGUUUUACCUUGGCCGAGAGGCCUGGGCAAUCUUUUAAACCUGCAUCGUGAUAGGGAUAGAUUAUUGCAAUUAUUAAUCUUGAACGAGGAAUUCCUAGUAAACGCAAAUCAUCAAUUUGCAUUGAUUACGUCCCUGCCCUUUGUACACACCGCCCGUCGCACCUACCGAUUGAAUGGUCCGGUGAAGCCUCGGGAUUGUGGCCAGUUCACUUUAUUGGGAGUUGGCUGUGAGAACUUGUCUAAACCUUAUCAUUUAGAGGAAGGUGAAGUCGUAACA